Molecule: transfer RNA, 73 nt
Filed under: Trichosporon asahii var. asahii CBS 8904
Lineage: Eukaryota; Fungi; Basidiomycota; Tremellomycetes; Trichosporonales; Trichosporonaceae
Description: tRNA-Pro (TGG) (tRNA-Pro-TGG-1-1)
Rfam family: tRNA
About the family: Transfer RNA (tRNA) molecules are approximately 80 nucleotides in length.
Source: RNAcentral
GCGUCAAUGGUGUAGUCGUUAUCAUACCUUCUUUGGGUGGAGGUGGUCCUGGGUUCAAAUCCCAGUUGACGCC